This is a long non-coding RNA of Onychomys torridus (southern grasshopper mouse), 966 nucleotides long. RefSeq lists it as uncharacterized. The transcript is spliced from 3 exons. Lineage: Eukaryota; Metazoa; Chordata; Mammalia; Rodentia; Cricetidae. The record is from RefSeq and is a predicted model, not a curated record.
CCCAGACUCAGAAGGACAAGCAUGAAUGAAAGCAUAACCAACAGUAGAAAAGUGAUGAGGAGAAAUGGAAAGUUCUAGAAAGACCUGUGCAGACUACGAAUUUAGAGCGUAGAAGAGACAGACGACUCUUCUCAGCUUUCCGCCUGUGCUACUCUUCUGUUCCUCUCUGUGAUGAAAUAUCCAAGAAAGUCAGCUGAAACGAGGAAGGCUUCAUCGUGGCUCUGGUCUACCAGGGUUUUAAAAGCCUGCACUCAGCUGGCUCCAUCACUUUGGACCGAGGUGAAGGGGACAUGACAGAGGCAGGAGGGUGAGCAGAGGAGGUUGUUCAUCUCAUGGCAGCAAGGAAAACAGGAGGAAGCGGGGCCCAAGGACAAGAUAGACCCUUCAAAGGGUAUGCCCCAGUGACCACUGUCUUUCAACGAGGACCCUUCCUUCCAAUAGCACACUAAACUAUGCACUCGUCAAUGGAUUGACCCACUCAUGAGGUUAGCACCCUUGGAACAGUGCCACAAGCUGGGGACAAAGCUAUCAGCAUGUGAACCUUCGGGACAUUUUGUACUAAAACCAUGACUUCGUUCUGACAAGGGUCGUGCCAAGCCCCUAUUGUUCCAGUUGAAGGCAUAAGCUGCCAAAGCAUGCACUUUGGGUGUGUUUGCUCUCUACCUUCCAGAAGAUUUGUCUCUCUUUGUCUUCUCUCCUUUCUGUGGAGUUUUUAUUUCUGCGAUUACACACAUACUUGCCAAGAAUUUUUGGUUUCCUGAAAAUUUAUUUUAAAAACGUCUUUGGGUCUGGAAAGAUGGCUCAGUGAGUAAAAGCACUCGCUGCCAAGCUUGGCUGCCUGAAUUCCAUCCCCCGGACUCACAAGAGGAAGGAGAGAACUGAUUCCUGAAAGUUGUCCUCUGACCUCCACAGGUGCACCAAGGCACGAGCGGGGUGAGCACACACGCGCCCACACACACACACACA